UACCCCCAAAGCCCGAACCUGCAUCUCCUCUGCGAGGCGCAGGGCGGGAGGACCGCUGCAGUUGGGAGCCGGCUCCGGACAGGCAAAGCGACCCGACAGGUAACCUUCCACAGGCCCACACAUGUGUUAUCAGCCAUACCUUAGGACAGAAGGAAUGAGUUUGCAGAAAGGAUGCUCUUCAGAACUCAUGAAGACAUAAGGUGCUUCAAAAGAGGAGACUUUCGGAACAUGAGCAGGGAAAUUGUCACUUGAUAGAUGACAAGCAUUGUGAGAAACAACAGUUUGCCUUUCUUCAUUCCCUUCCUGGUUAUCUUUCCUGUCACAUGAAGAAGAAAUGAAACACCAGAGAGAAUCAGGUUAUCAUCAUCUACACCAGCCACUGUCACUGGCCUUCAAAGUUCAACCUCCCUGGAACUCCAGAACUCCCCACUUUAUAAGAUGAAUGGCUAAUUGGAUCCUAGUACAUAAGGAAACACUGGCAAAAUAGCGCCCUACAACCAUACUGAGAAUUUAGCCCUGGGGACAUCUUCCGAUAUAAUCUGGCAUAGAAGAGUGGUUAUCACACCUUUAGCAUGGAUAGAAAUGCAAAACAAUAUUUGUAAUAGUCUGUGCUCACGCUGCUAUAAGGACAUACCCAAGACUAGGAAAGAGCCACAGAUUUGCUUCUUCCUAGCAAGGGCGUGAUACUAAUUCCAGAUCCAUCCAAAUAUUGUUCACUGCUUCUUAGACAGAGACCCCUUUCUCCCAGGACCCUUGAGACACCUUUGCUGUGAAUAAUGGAGAAGCAAAAGGAGUUACUAAUGAAGACAAACUAAACCUGAGAACAGAGAGAGCCUAACUAUGUGCUCCAGAAGUGCCAUGUGUGUCUAAGGUAGGUCCAAAGGUAUGAGUCUAGAGAUAUUAUGUAUAAAACACCUAAUUGAAUGUCAAAAAAUCCAUAGAAGCUUAAUAAUUGGUAGCAAUUAUUAUUACUCAUUAGUGUGGGGGCUGGGAAGAUGACAACAGAGUAUAACUUGGAGGGUUGGUGUAGAGCAAUUAGCUAGCAACUGUAGUUUGAAUUUCCAUGAAGUAGUUCCCUUAAUUGUGUACACACAAACACAUCAAAACUGAAACCACAGCUAUGUGAUUUAAUAAUGUUGCACGUUUAGACAUGAUACAAGGCACUUUUGCCUACAUUAUCUUUCUGUGAGUUUAACAUUAGACCUGGUAUAAUUAUCCUAAAUUUACUACUAGAGAAUUUAGUUUGAAAAGUCAUGCAACUUUUCUAAAGAAUUUUUUCUGAUUUAAUAACACCAAUCAAUGAAUUAAUCAAUCAACUGUUCUGGCCAUUAAAUGUGUGAGAAAAAAAAGUCAGUGUAUUAAUUAUAAUUAUAUACCGAGACUUGGCUCUGUGUGUUUCACAAAAUAAGUAUAAAGUAUCAAAUUUGUUAUAAAUGUGUGACCCAUUAAAAGAAAAAAAAACUUGAUAGAUGUGUAUUUGGUAACAGCUUUUUAGAAAAUUUUUUGAACAUUUAUGAUGUUCAGAAAAGAACAGUGAUCAGUGUGCUAAAUUAAAUUACUUGAAUAAAUUAUGGAGAAAAAGUUCUGAUUUUUGUGCAAGGUUUGCAUUCUGGAUUGAGGUCCAGUUCUUUUUGAAGUAUCUGAAAUCAAACAUAUAUUUCCAAACCCUGAGGACUGAUUUCCUUCUGAAGACCACCCUCUCUUCUAUUUGAGGAACUCCAUAUUCCUUCUUGUAACACUACUCUGAUUCUAUAUCAAGCAAUCUUGGCCUUGUUAAGAUAAGAAAGUUGCCUUAAGCACUUUCCAAAGCUUUCCUACAUUCACUGUUGGUGGAUGGUGUCCCUACCCUACUUGUUCCCCUGCAGAACCUCAGAUUGGAGAUAUAAGGGGUGAAAUAACAGCCAAGUACCUCAGAGCUAAGUACUUUACAUAUAACUCAUUUAAUCCUCACAGCAUUGCUAUGGAACAAGUACUAUUAUUCAUCCCAGUUUACAGAUAGAAACUAAGGCAGAGAAAGGUUAAAUAAUCAAAGUUUACCUACUAGAUAACAGAGUGGGGGUAGAAACCAAGCCAUUCUGGCUUUUCCUGCUUGUAACACCAGGGUGGUAAAGGUGAAAAUUUGGGUUCAUUCUCACAGAGAAGAGGUUAUUAAGGCUCAGACUGGACAGAUAGCAUGGGAAUGAUGAGCAAGCAGGAAAUUUAAGAGUCAGAUCUUAGAAAAAUAUGACAAAGCCUAGAGACUGGCAACUGACAUGAUCUGAGAAAAGUGAGGAGGCCAGUGUUCCUUGUUUGGAAACAGGAGGAAUAAUGGGACCACUGGUUGAAAUGGAGUGCAAAUGUCUUAUAAGAAAAGGAAAAAAAUGACACCAACUUGACCCUCAAGUAUAUUUUGAGUAUAUUCUAUUUCUCUUUUCAUUAGAAGAAAUUUAAUUUGAGAAAUGAAUAGAGAAAGAAAGGGGAAAGGAGAAUGUUUCAAAGAAUAAGGUUAAAGUCAUCACAGCUUGACAGCAAUCUAAAAGUCAAAAAGUAUGCCAGAAUAGCAGGUAUUUGAGACCCACUGUUCGAAACAAUUUUAUUUUAAACACAUGUGGUUCCUUAAUGAUACUGGUAGCAUGGUGGUUGUGCAGCCCGCCUUUAGCAGGAAGUGCUGAUUUGCUUAAUUCUAUUAAGCCUAUAAGAAAGGUAAAUCUGUCUCCUGAACUUAAGGGGCCUCUGCUCUAAAGUAAGUUUGACAUUGGCCAAUAAUCACCCUGACAUUCUUGUGGCUUUGGCUGCUCUUGAAGCUGCUGAAUUGCACCAAGAGAAGAGGCUGAGUGAGAAAGCCUGGUUAUAGCAAUGGCCCAUCCUGUCAGUGCUGGGAGUGGGUACUAUACUCAAAGCAGUAUAAAUACAGAUGCUGCACAUUAUGCUCUGCUAUGCUGGCUGCCUUUGGGAUGAUUGUUGGGAAAGUUCUUGAAGCCAGUGGUGUUAGAGGGGACAGUGUGCUUCUUGAAACAAAAGAGUUGAUGGUGAGAAUGGUCUUUGAAAACUGUACUCUUUACAAAGGUGAACUCUGCAAACUGGGCCUACUGAAAGAAAUAGGGAUUCUAUUUUCAUUACUGUUUUAUCAUCAAAAUACCAUAAGGCCUGGCCCUUAGCAAAUAGUCCUUAAAUAUCUGAUACCAUUAGAAGCUUGCUUCUAUGAAGGGUGAUCACCCAUCCCAGUUUGCGUGGGACAGUCUUAGUUUACAUUAUUGUCCUUGCAUCCUGUUCAGCUGGUAUAUAUCCAAGUCUCUUAAUUUUUAUUCAAGUAUUAUUAUUAAUAGUUGUACAAAAAUAAGUCAGAAUAAGUUUGGUAGACCUCUACUUUAUUUCCAGCUUCUGUCAUUUUCUUCCUGGUAGUAGGUAUGAGACAUAUAUACAUGGAAAGAUAAUCAGCAGUAGCCUAUCUCUCUCCCUUUAAUUUUUUAAAGAACUUUCCAGAUUCAAGAAUGGACAAGGCACUCAGUUAUGAGCAACAAAUUCCUUUUGUCUUGGAGAUCAUGGAAGAAGUAUUAGAUGCUGCUCCCCUUAGUGUAACAGCCAGUUUUGUUGCAGCCUGUGGGGCCUGCAAGCUACACAAAACCACCAGGAUCCUAGAAGAGUCACUAGGAAACGUAGAGUAUUAUAGCUAGAUAAACAUCAUCACAUAUGUGUAAAAGAUAGAGACUGAACAGUCCAGUCUUAAAAUGUAUAGCAAAGUAGUUUGAAUGCUCUUGUUACAGUGAUUUUGUCAUCUACCAAUUUUAAGUGUGUAGUGAUUUAUCUAUCACAUUAUUUGGCAAUACUUUCUGAAUUUUGCAAUACAUGCAACAAUGACCUAAAAAAUGAAAGUGCAUGUUUAAUUUAAAAAUUAAAAGUAAAGCCAGGCGCAGUGGCUCACACCUGUAAUCCCAGCACUUUGGGAGGCUGAGGCGGGCGGAUUACCUGAGGUCGGGAGUUCAAGACCAGCCUGACCAACAUGGAGAAACCCUGUCUCUACUAAAAAUACAAAAUUGACUGGGCGUGGUGGUGCAUGCCUGUGGUCCCAGCUACUUGGGAGGCCGAAGCAGGAGAAUUGCUUGAACCUGGGAGGCGGAUGUUGCGGUGAGUGGAGAUCGCGCCAUUGCACUCCAGCCUGGGCAACAAGAGCAAAACUCUGUCUCAAAAAAAAAAAAAAAAA
This 4180-nucleotide long non-coding RNA is filed under the name Homo sapiens (human). Its description in RNAcentral is "HSALNT0336793". The record is from RNAcentral. Lineage: Eukaryota; Metazoa; Chordata; Mammalia; Primates; Hominidae.